This 377-nucleotide ribosomal RNA is filed under the name Dehalococcoidia bacterium. RNAcentral's name for it is "bacterial SSU rRNA". It matches the Rfam family "Bacterial small subunit ribosomal RNA", at positions 1 to 376 of the family's 1533-position model. Lineage: Bacteria; Bacillati; Chloroflexota; Dehalococcoidia. The record is from RNAcentral.
AAUUUAAGAGUUUGAUCCUGGCUCAGGACGAACAUUGGCGGCGCGCCUAAUGCAUGCAAGUCGAGCGAGCUCGUUUUCUUCGGAAAGCAUAUAGCUAGCGGCGAACGGCUGAGUAACACGUGAGUAACCUGCCUCGAAGAGGGGAAAAACUAUGAGAAAUCAUAGCUAAUUCCGCGUAAUGUCGAUCAUUGAUUUUGAUCGAAGAAAGAAUUUAUUCGCUUUGAGAUGGGCUUGCGUCCUAUCAGGUAGUUGGUGAGGUAAUGGCUCACCAAGCCUAAGACGGGUAGCUGGAGUGAGAGCUUGACCAGCCAGAGGGGGACUGAGACACGGCCCCCACUCCUACGGGAGGCAGCAGCAGGGAAUCUUGCACAAUGGGC